AUGUGUGCAAAGCUCAGAGAACAGGGAGUAGCUCCGGAGACAGCAGCUCUCUCUGUGGUGGGCGUGUCCAGGAGGCUGCCCCUGCCCACCUCUCGGGGCAGGAUCUCCUGUCUCUGUCCCUCCCAGCCCAGCGCACGUCUGAGCUGUGGUCAGGACAUCUUGUCCUCAGCUGUGCCCCCUUGCCCGGUCAGUUCUUCAGGUGGCCGUGGGCACAUGUGUGCCAGGAGGGAAGGGGGCAUCCUCACAAGGGUGACGUGGGGCCACCUCCAGAGCACAGCCACGGGGCCACCUGAGACUUGGCAGCAGUCAGCAACAUGGCUCCUGGAUGCCUUCCCGCCCAGGCCUGUCCAAAGGAGAGCUCCUCCAACGUGGGGUGGAUGGAGCCCCACCCUGGGUGGCGUCCCUCCAGGAGGUUACCCACUGAGAGGCCUGGGGCCAGCUGCUCACCCUUCCGCUGCAGGGCCAGGUCCCUACCAGGUGGCCACCAUCUCAGACCCUCAACAUUCCAGUCUGAGUCUGAAGAGAACUUUCAGAUCAGAGCACAAGUUCCAUGGGCCUGGGGCGGCGUGUGCUGGGUGUGCUGGGUGCCUGGGUGUAUGGGUGUCCCGGGUAUGCCCCAAGUGUGCUGGUUGUGCUGGAUGCCCAGGUGUGCGGGGUGCCCGGGUGUGCUGGAUGCCCAGGUGUGCGGGGUGCCCGGGUGUGCUGGGUGUCCCGGGUGUGCUGGGUGCCAGGUGUGUGGGGUGCCCGGGUGUGCUGGGUGCGCUGGGUGUGCUGGUUGUGGUGGGUGCCCCGGGUGUGCUGGGUACCCCGGGUGUGCUGGGUGCCCAAGUGUGCUGGAUGCCCAGGUGUGUGGGGUGCCCGGGUGUGCUGGGUGCCUGGGUGUGCUGGCUGUCCCGGGUGUGCUGGGUGCCCAAGUGUGCUGGAUGCCCGGGUGUGCUGGAUGCCCGGGUGUGCUGGGUGCGCCGGGUGUACUGGUUGUGGUGGGUGUCGUGUGCUGAGUGUCCUGGGUGCCCUGAGUGUGCCGGGUGUGCUGGGUACCCCAGGUGUGCUAGGUGCCUGCCUCUUGGACGUCCCAUGGCAGGCACAUCCCUGCUGGGCAGGGAGCACGUUGGACACCUGCCAUGGCCCCAGCCUGUGUGUGCGGCACUCCUGUUUGCUCAGGGCUGGUGGAGGAGCAGCGGGAAACCAGACGAGUACUCAGAUUGCGUGCCUGUGUGGGGCUUUCUGGCAGAGGACCAUCUCACGUUGGAACCAAUUCAGAUGGAAACGAGACGUGGAAGGUUGUGCUUUGCUAAUGGGUCUUUGAAAUCCUGGAUAAUAUACUGA
Molecule: long non-coding RNA, 1326 nt
Filed under: Macaca fascicularis (crab-eating macaque)
Lineage: Eukaryota; Metazoa; Chordata; Mammalia; Primates; Cercopithecidae
Description: lncRNA (ENSMFAG00000051952.1)
Source: RNAcentral